Molecule: transfer RNA, 71 nt
Filed under: Camelus bactrianus (Bactrian camel)
Lineage: Eukaryota; Metazoa; Chordata; Mammalia; Artiodactyla; Camelidae
Also listed under: 1 other name
Rfam family: tRNA
About the family: Transfer RNA (tRNA) molecules are approximately 80 nucleotides in length.
Source: Rfam by way of RNAcentral
GAUGAUAUAGCUCAGUGGUAGAAUGUGUGCUUGCAUGCACAGGGUCCUGGGUUCAAUCCCCAGUACCUCUG